UGAGGAAGACAGGCAAUCGCGAACUGCCUCGACAGUUCGAGGAAAGUCCGAACUCCAUAGAGCAGAAUGCUGGUUAACGACCAGUGAGGGCGACUUCAAGGAAAGUGCCACAGAAACAUACCGCCUGAGUGUAGAAUAUUCUUAUUCGCAUAUCGGGUAAGGGUGAAAUGGUGAGGUAAGAGCUUACCAGCAGCCGGGUGAUCGGCUGGCUGGGUAAACCCCAUUUGGAGCAAGACCAAAUAGAAGGAUUAGCCUGUCCGCCUUGUGUGGAUAGACUUGCAGGCUGCUCGUCUGUCAACCUUCGGGUUGGUUGCUUGAGGCAUCGGGUAACCGAUGUCCCAGAUAGAUGAUUGCCACCCGGAAAGUCGUAAGGCUUUCCAGGUACAAAAUUCGGCUUAUGGCUUGCUCAAACC
Molecule: RNase P RNA, 413 nt
Filed under: Chloroflexota bacterium
Lineage: Bacteria; Bacillati; Chloroflexota
Description: RNase P RNA component class A
Rfam family: Bacterial RNase P class A
About the family: Ribonuclease P (RNase P) is a ubiquitous endoribonuclease, found in archaea, bacteria and eukarya as well as chloroplasts and mitochondria. Its best characterised activity is the generation of mature 5'-ends of tRNAs by cleaving the 5'-leader elements of precursor-tRNAs. Cellular RNase Ps are ribonucleoproteins.
Source: RNAcentral